RNAcentral lists this ribosomal RNA (500 nucleotides) under uncultured bacterium. RNAcentral's name for it is "partial 16S ribosomal RNA". It matches the Rfam family "Bacterial small subunit ribosomal RNA", at positions 30 to 523 of the family's 1533-position model. The record is from RNAcentral.
AUUGAACGCUGGCGGCAGGCCUAACACAUGCAAGUCGAGCGGAUGACGGGAGCUUGCUCCUUGAUUCAGCGGCGGACGGGUGAGUAAUGCCUAGGAAUCUGCCUGGUAGUGGGGGACAACGAUUCGAAAGGAACGCUAAUACCGCAUACGUCCUACGGGAGAAAGCAGGGGACCUUCGGGCCUUGCGCUAUCAGAUGAGCCUAGGUCGGAUUAGCUAGUUGGUGGGGUAAUGGCUCACCAAGGCGACGAUCCGUAACUGGUCUGAGAGGAUGAUCAGUCACACUGGAACUGAGACACGGUCCAGACUCCUACGGGAGGCAGCAGUGGGGAAUAUUGGACAAUGGGCGAAAGCCUGAUCCAGCCAUGCCGCGUGUGUGAAGAAGGUCUUCGGAUUGUAAAGCACUUUAAGUUGGGAGGAAGGGCAGUUAGCUAAUACCUUGCUGUUUUGACGUUACCGACAGAAUAAGCACCGGCUAACUCUGUGCCAGCCGCCGCCGUAA